UACGUAGGGUGCGAGCGUUGUCCGGAAUUAUUGGGCGUAAAAGAGCUUGUAGGCGGUUUGUCGCGUCUGCCGUGAAAUUUCGAGGCUCAACCUCGAACUUGCGGUGGGUACGGGCAGACUAGAGUGUGGUAGGGGGAGACUGGAAUUCCUGGUGUAGCGGUGGAAUGCGCAGAUAUCAGGAGGAACACCGGUGGCGAAGGCGGGGUCUCUGGGGCAAACAACUGACGCUGAGGAGCGAAAAGCGUGGGGGGAGCGAAACAGG
Molecule: ribosomal RNA, 262 nt
Filed under: uncultured bacterium
Lineage: Bacteria
Description: partial 16S ribosomal RNA
Rfam family: Bacterial small subunit ribosomal RNA
Source: RNAcentral